Long non-coding RNA from Quercus lobata, 448 nucleotides. RefSeq lists it as uncharacterized. NCBI's taxonomy places the organism in Eukaryota, Viridiplantae, Streptophyta, Magnoliopsida, Fagales, Fagaceae. The record is from RefSeq and is a predicted model, not a curated record. The transcript has 2 exons.
AACUGAAAUCAAACCAUCUAUUAAUUUAGAAUUAGAAAACGAACGGGUAACUCACGUGAGAGACCACAUGAGAAUAAAAAUUAGCGAACGUCCAGGGAGAGAGAAAGCUAGCUUUAGAGAGAGACGAUCAAACAAGAAUUCCAGAACCACCAUCGUCAACCUUCUCUCCUGUGCUGGAGUCUUUGUCCCUCAGUCGUCUUGCCAUUGGGUUUUACGAUGGGAAGGAAACAAUGGAAAUGAAAGUUUCUUCUUCCAAUUAUUUGAAGUUGAUAAUGUUGCCAUUCCUAAACAAGAGAUCUAUUAUUAUUUUUCUUUGUCCUUUUUUUUCCUUCUUAAUUUAAACCAAAAAAAAAAAGUUAGCUGAGUACCUCAUGCAGUGCCAUGCUAUCCCUAUUAAAGUUUGCAAUGCAGUGGAUAAGCUGAUUAGGGACUUCCUUUACGGAUCAAU